GAUCCUGGCUCAGGAUGAACGCUAGCGACAGGCUUAACACAUGCAAGUCGAGGGGCAGCAUAAAAGUAGCAAUACUUGGUGGCGACCGGCGCACGGGUGAGUAACGCGUAUGCAACCUACCUAUCAGAGGGGAAUAACCCGGCGAAAGUCGGACUAAUACCGCAUAAAACAGGGGCACCGCAUGGUGAUAUUUGUUAAAGAAAUUCGCUGAUAGAUGGGCAUGCGUUCCAUUAGGUAGUUGGUGAGGUAACGGCUCACCAAGCCGACGAUGGAUAGGGGAACUGAGAGGUUGGUCCCCCACACUGGUACUGAGACACGGACCAGACUCCUACGGGAGGCAGCAGUGAGGAAUAUUGGUCAAUGGGCGGGAGCCUGAACCAGCCAAGUCGCGUGAAGGAAGAAGGAUCUAUGGUUCGUAAACUUCUUUUGCAGGGGAAUAAAGUGCAGGACGUGUCCUGUUUUGUAUGUACCCUGAGAAUAAGGAUCGGCUAACUCCGUGCCAGCCGCCGC
RNAcentral lists this ribosomal RNA (510 nucleotides) under uncultured bacterium. Its description in RNAcentral is "bacterial SSU rRNA". It matches the Rfam family "Bacterial small subunit ribosomal RNA", at positions 15 to 518 of the family's 1533-position model. The record is from RNAcentral.